AACGGCGCCAAACACUUCCGGAGCUGCGGGGACGACUCUUCUGGAGGAAGCAGCGCGGGCUUGACCGGCGUCGGCCCGCCGCCUCUGCUGCCGCUUCGCCCCAAUCCGGUCCCUCUGGCCCGGCCUGACCCGGUCUGGCUUGUUCGGGCUCAGCGGCCGCGAGGCCGCAGCUCCCGAUGGAAAUCAUAUUACAUAGAAUACUUGGGUGACAUCUGCCUGAGAGAUCUCCAAGAAUUACAGAUACAAGUCCAAUUCUGCUCAACUGCUUGUUGAGGCUCGAGUUCAGCCUAAUCCAUCAAAACAUGUUCCCACAUCCCAUCCCCCUCACCACUGUGCAGUGUGUAUGCAGUUUGUGCGAAAGGAAAACCUACUCUCUCUGGCCUGUCAGCACCAGUUUUGCCGCAGCUGCUGGGAGCAGCACUGCUCAGUUCUCGUCAAGGACGGCGUGGGCGUGGGAGUCUCUUGUAUGGCUCAGGACUGUCCACUCCGUACACCAGAGGACUUUGUGUUUCCAUUGCUUCCCAGUGAAGAAUUGAGAGAGAAAUACAGGCGCUACCUCUUCAGAGACUAUGUGGAGAGUCAUUACCAGCUCCAGCUGUGCCCUGGUGCAGACUGCCCCAUGGUUAUUCGAGUACAAGAGCCUAGAGCU
RNAcentral lists this small RNA (649 nucleotides) under Pongo abelii (Sumatran orangutan). RNAcentral describes it as "processed transcript". The record is from RNAcentral. Lineage: Eukaryota; Metazoa; Chordata; Mammalia; Primates; Hominidae.